CGAACGCUGGCAGCGUGGAUGAGGCAUGGCAAGUCGAGCGGUCUCUAGGAAGUAGCAAUAUGACCUAGAGAUAGCGGCGGAAGGGCGAGUAUCGCGUGGGCAAGCUACCCCCGAGUGCGGAACAACGGCUGGAAACGGCCGCUAAUGCCGCAUGUGGCCGUGCGACGCAGGUCGCGCGUGCCAAAGGCCGGGACCGCAAGGCCGGCCGCCCGGGGAGGCGCCCGCGUGCCAUCAGCUAGUUGGCGGGUAACGGCCCACCAAGGCGCACGGCUAGGCGGACUGAGAGGUUGGUCGCCCGCACUGGGACUGAGACACUGCCCAGACUCCUACGGGAGGCUGCAGUCGAGGAUCAUUCGCAAUGGGCGCAAGCCUGACGAUGCGACGCUGCGUGGAGGACGAAGGCCCUCGGGUCGUAAACUCCUGUCAGAGGGGAAAAGGGCGCGCCCCCGAACAAGGGAACGCGCUUGAUGGUACCCUCAGAGGAAGCCACGGCUAACUCUGUGCCAGCCGCGGC
Molecule: ribosomal RNA, 514 nt
Filed under: uncultured bacterium
Lineage: Bacteria
Description: bacterial SSU rRNA
Rfam family: Bacterial small subunit ribosomal RNA
Source: RNAcentral